RNAcentral lists this ribosomal RNA (402 nucleotides) under uncultured bacterium. Its description in RNAcentral is "bacterial SSU rRNA". It matches the Rfam family "Bacterial small subunit ribosomal RNA", at positions 370 to 772 of the family's 1533-position model. The record is from RNAcentral.
AAUGGGCGCAAGCCUGAUGCAGCGACGCCGCGUGAGGGAUGACGGCUUUCGGGUUGUAAACCUCUUUCGCUACCGAACAAGGCUCCAUAUUGGUGGGGUUGAGGGUAGGUGGAUAAGAAGCGCCGGCUAACUACGUGCCAGCAGCCGCGGUAAUACGUAGGGCGCGAGCGUUGUCCGGAAUUAUUGGGCGUAAAGAGCUCGUAGGCGGCUUGUCGCGUCUGCUGUGAAAACGCGGGGCUUAACUCCGCGCGUGCAGUGGGUACGGGCAGGCUAGAGUGUGGUAGGGGUGACUGGAAUUCCUGGUGUAGCGGUGGAAUGCGCAGAUAUCAGGAGGAACACCGAUGGCGAAGGCAGGUCACUGGGCCAUUACUGACGCUGAGGAGCGAAAGCAUGGGGAGCGAA